Cyprinus carpio carpio is the source of this 4692-nucleotide long non-coding RNA. Lineage: Eukaryota; Metazoa; Chordata; Actinopteri; Cypriniformes; Cyprinidae. The record is from Ensembl.
AAAUAAUUUAAUGUUAUCUGAAAUUAAUAAAAUCAAGCAGGCAUUCAUUAAUGUUAAUAAAAUACUAUCCAUAAUAUGUGGUGUGUAAAAGGAGUUGAAAUCUCACAUGAACUUUAAAACACACACACACACACACACACACACACACACACACACACACACACACACACACACACACACACACACACAAAUGCAUAUGUUGAUAUUUGAAAUAGGUGAUACUAUUUUCUAUAUAAAAAUAGUCUCCAUUCAUUUCUUAAAAAAUACAGAGUGGUUUUAUGUUAGGUUGUUGAUAUUUCACACAGGCGUUGUUUCCUUUGAGGCUGCAGCGGCUACACGUGACACACCCCUUUUUCGUGACUGUUUUUCGUGUGUACAAAAGCUAACGCCACAGAACCUGAAGCUUUCUUCAGCAGCUAAACAGUUUUUUGCUACCGCUUAAAGUAGGACAAAAUUUUUAAAAUGGAAAAAUGUCUGGCUCUCCUAACGAACACCGGUUAUGAGACGAUUGUGAACGAAAUCAUAGCACUGAACGUGGGCGCGCAACCUCCACAACCUAACGUUGCGGUCGAGGUGCCCGGGAUUAGGCCUGACAUCACCCCAGCACCCGCGAGCGCUCAGUCGAUAAGUACAGCGAGGGAGCGAGCCGUGAGAGAUACGCUAACUGAAAACAGGGGAUCGCUCUCUUGUUUAAGAUGACUUGUUAACCGAUACCAGACCAUUACAACUGCUGAUCGACAUGAACAGCAAACAGUGCUAGACACGGGCCAUCGUUAGGAAGAAGAGUGGAUGUGACUGCUCAGAUCCAUGCACCGCCGCAAAUAUCUACUAAUUCUGCACCUAUUGGUGUUAGAAGAUCACGCCAGGAAGACCAGAAUGUGACUGCUCUGCCGGUUCAGGCCAAUGGACAAAAGACUGCAAACCCCUGUGAGAUCAGUGUGAUACCUAACACCCCUGAGCAAAAACGUCCAAGACAAUCAACUCAAUCAGAAGACACGGAGUUCUGGAACGAACAUUUUGCUCAAGCAUGGGAUGGACGUGAUAUGAACGCCCCAUCUAAUGUGGAUCAAGAGAAGAAUUUAAAUCAACCCACAGACACUGUUGAAAACGUCGCAGAUUCAGAUGAUGAUGCAGACAAGCUUCCUUCAAACCAGGAGUAAUACAAGAACCAACAGCAGAACGACACAAACAAAGACAUUUUGAACACUAUUGCCAAGAGCCCAGAAAGAAUUAUAAAGGACCAAGCACGUUUUAAUCAGACUUUUGCCAAGAACCAACAACAGAACGACACAAACAAAGACAUUUUGAACACUAUUGCCAAGAGCCAACAGCAGAACGACGCAAACAAAGACAUUUUGAACACUAUUGUCAAGAACCAAAAAAGAAUUAUAGAGGACCAGCAGAAACACUGGAUCAUCCUUAAACAAAUUAUUGCGUUACUAAAACGUCAUGAUGGCGGACAUGCUCAGACGGCCUGUGAUCAGGAAAUGACUCUAACGCUGUUAACUGAACUGCUGGGGCUUUUUAAAUAACUGUAUUGGUGAGUCCUAUUUUCUUUACCCAGUUUUUUUUUUCCUAAGUGUGUAUUGUUUUUGUCACAAGUGUGCAUAGAUGUGGUUUUAUGAUUAGAUUUUUUCCUUCUUCUACGUUUAGUUGUGUGGGGUGUAUUUUGUAAAUAUUUUUUUAAAUAAAUUAGAGUUAGAAAUGGCUGCGAAACGUUGUCGGGAGUCAUGUGAUGGUGAACAAGAUCCUCCGUUAAGGAGCAAUAGGGAUGAUAAUUUCCGAAAUCAACAAAACACUACAGAAAAGCUACUCAGGCUCAUACAGACUGUUGAUGAGAUGAAAAAACACAAGUCAUCUAAAUUGUUAAAAUUAAUAAACGUGGUACGAUCAAGGGCAGAGCCUCCUCCAGAACCGGCUUUUGAUUUUGAACAGUUUGUAAAUUCUCAACAGCUAGGUGAGGUGUCAGAACCAGUUUUUGAUUUUGAACAGUUUGUAAAUUCUCAACAGCUAGGUGCGGUGUCAGAACCAGUUUUUGAUUUUGAACAGUUUGUAAAUUCUCAACAGCCAGGUGAGGUGUCAGAACCAUGACCAUACCCAAUUUUUGAACAGUUUGUAAAUUAUCCACAGACAGGUGAGGGAGUAGGUACCCGGCCACACCACACGCUUGACCUAACAGACCCCUGCAUGGGUCUCACACAAGCUGAAAUAGAAACACUUGUAAGAGAGGGUGGUGAUGUGGCUGGAUACACAGAAGUACCACGAGGUCGAUUCAAUGGUUUGGAAAUCCACAGGCUUAUAAAUCUAAGGGAAAUAUCUUCUACAGAUCUAUCAGACUACACUGUGUUUUUACAUGACAAGUUUUCUGCAAUAGUGGCGUUUUCCAGAUUAUUAGGUGGAGAUGGUAGUUUAAUUAACAUCACUUUGAGCAGUCCUAGCUUGACAUCUGAUGUUAAUACACUCUUGUCAGCUAGCAAUGAUUACAAUGUCGAUCUCUUCAUCAGUAAUCUUGAAAAAAUGUACAGUUUGAUGAGUGUUUAAAUUUAAAAGUGUCUAUAGCAAGAAGUAAACAAGGAGGCGCUUGACGAAAAUUAAGGGAUCUAGCCCACGAUCAAGCGAUUAGUAAGAACAGACUUAAUUUGUUCAUCCCCUCAAACAUUGCUGGGGAAAACAAUCUUUGUUUUGCAAUCUGCUUAGCACACUUUCUUAACCCUCAGAAACCACACACAGACCUAGAGUCCAUAGCGUCAGCAUUGCAGGAGUCUGUAGGAUACACUGAUCAACAUAUGAUAUCACUUAAUGAUAUUGCUCAGUUUGAACGUAUGUUGAAUAUUAAAAUAGUGGUCUUCUAUAGAACGAAUACAGGAAUGUUGAAGAAAUAUGCAAACACAGAUGUACAGUACCACAUCCUAAAACAGUGUUUUUGUACCUCCACGACAAUCAUUAUUUUAUGAUUAAAAAUGUGAAGGGAUUCAUUGGCACACCAUACUUGUGUGAGUAUUGUUAUCAAGGGUUUACUGCACAGCGAGAUCACAGAUGCCGAUACACCUGCGAUGUCUGCAACGCUUCUGAAUGUCAUCUUUACCCCCAAAAAACAAAACACUGCGGUGACUGUUUGAGGUACUGUAGGUCAGACUAUUGUUUUCAGAUGCAUAAAAAGCCACCUCCAGGUCAGAAAUUUGCACAGUGCGACGUUACCAAAUAUUGUGGUAAAUGUAAUAGACGUUAUCAUGUCAGCGGCACCAACCCCAGGCCACACAAAUGUCCUGCAGAUUGUUGUGUUCACUGUAGUGAGGGUUUGGUUAACGACGGUGUGCAUCAGUGUUUUAUUCAGCCGGUUAAGUUGAAGGAGCCAAAUAAUCGCUAAAUUUUUUUUGAUUUCGAAACUCAUUAUGAAAAUAACAGCCAUUUUCCGAUUUUUGUAUACGCGAUCACGUUUGAGGGAGAAUAAUUUUUGGCCGAAGGUUCUGAUUGUGUUCAGACGGCCUUGUUAUAAUAAUUACACAUGGAUUGCACAUAAUGCAUCCGGAUUUGAUAAUUUCAUUCUUUUGGAAUACUUCACUAAGAUGGGGAUACCUCCUAAAAUUAUGUAUGAUGAGGCAUUCAAACAGAGAUUUAUCGAUAGUUACAGUUUUAUACCCAUGCGUCUAGCCAACACACCUGCUGCUUUUAAUCUGGCCAACUCUGUGAAGGGUUAUUUCCCACAUAACACCGUGUUGAAAAUGAUUCGUAUGUUCUACCAUACCCAGCCAAAGAGUUUUAUGGAUAUACGACUAUGUCAAACAAAGACAGAACAGAGUUUGAUGCGUGGUAUAGUACUAUCUCUGACCAAGUGUUUGAUUUUAAAAAAGAACUAGCAAUUUAUGGAAAAAAUGACGUCGUCCUGCUUAGGGAUGUGUGUAUGAAGUACCGUGAUGAAUUCAUUCUGUGUACAGGUCUGGACCCAUGUAAUUACACCACUCUGGAGUCCACCUGCAUGGCUAUCUAUAAAACACACUACCUCCCAAAAGACACAAUAGCACUGACACACAACAGCGCAUAUAUCAAUCAGAACAAAACAUACUCGAACGUAUCAAUUGAAUGGCUUGAAUAUAUCAGCAAAUCACGUUCAGUAGUUGUUCAACACGCGCUAAAUCACGGUGAGGUGUCAUUCGGCAAGUAUUAUGUAGAUGGUUUUUAUAUCGAUGGCACAAAUAAAAAAGCAUUAGAGUUUGCAGGGUGUUUUUUUCACGGUUGUGAACGAUGUUAUAACCCCAAUGAUUUAAAUCCGUUAUUGAGGGUACCUUACGGUCUUCUCAAAAGACAGUUUGAUGACAAGAUUGAAAUUUUACAGAAUCCAUACAAUCUUCAUAUUGAGAUUCAGUGGGAAUGUAGCUGGACCCAUGCUUAACAAUCUGAUGCUGACGUGAUUGCGUUCAUUUCCACCUAUAAACAUCCUGAGAGAUUGAAACCCCGCGAAACUUUGUAUGGUGGUAGAACGAAUUCAUUCAAGUUGUAUCACAAGGCAGCAGAAGGCGAGGUCAUACGGUAUGUGGAUUUCACAAGUCUCUAUCCAUUUUGUCAGGCCACAAAGUGUUUCCCGAUAGGACACCCCCAAAUAAUUUUCAAAGAUUUUGAUAAUCUUGAAAAUUAUUUUGCCUGGUUAAGGCUACGGUACUACCACCUCGAAAGCUGCCCUUACAACUGCCCAUG